Ochotona princeps (American pika) is the source of this 115-nucleotide small nucleolar RNA. Its record names the gene SNORA74. It matches the Rfam family "Small nucleolar RNA SNORA74". From Rfam's summary of the family: U19 belongs to the H/ACA class of snoRNAs. snoRNAs bind a number of proteins (including dyskerin, Gar1p and Nop10p in the case of the H/ACA class) to form snoRNP complexes. This class are thought to guide the sites of modification of uridines to pseudouridines by forming direct base pairing interactions with substrate RNAs. Lineage: Eukaryota; Metazoa; Chordata; Mammalia; Lagomorpha; Ochotonidae. The record is from Ensembl.
UCCUGCUGCUGUAGACAACUGCCUAGGUUGCCUUAUACCUAAGGAAGUGUCACGCUGCUGGAAGCAAAGCAGCCAAUAGCUGGUGGGUAUUCUGGGCCUGGGUAAUGCCAAAAUU